UUUUGUGUGGGGCGCAUCGCCUUGUGCCUGCCGCUUUCCAGGUGCAUUGGAGGACACAACCAUUAGACACUGUGAUAUAGACAUUCUGGGAAACGUGGAGACCGGCGAGCGCAAAGGCAGCAGGCAGGAGCUGCGUUGGUUAACACUCUUCUGCAUAUGACAUGCCUGCGUCAUGACGAGUAACGCGACGCUGCCGCAUGCCGUUGCCCUCGCUCAGGAGCUAGAGAUAGAGCUCCGGCACCUCGACGCCCUUCAACAACACUACGCGCAGCUGCUCGUCCAUCAGCUGAGUAGCCUUGAUUUUCUCAACGAGGGUGACGCUGCUACUAUGGUUUCUGCGAAGGAACCUACCAUGGCUCACAACGGGGGUUGCGCAGUUGCUAAGCCUGAAGUGGCCGUUGCCACUACCUGCAUCAAGCAGCCAUCGGCAGUGCCGCUGCCUUGGAGGCGCCACACCCACGACGCGGCAAGGGUUCUGCAACCACCCUUCCGGCACAGCGCUUGUCCUGUGCCUAGCACCAUCAGUAGCAGUUCUUCGCCUCUCCUACAACCUUUGGCGGCAACCAGUGUGCCACCGCCGCUUUCUCCACAACCGAAACGAAGCGGCAGAAGUGCUGUAAAGCCAGUGACGCCUCGGCCCAACGCUGACAAGACCUGCAAAGAUCUGCCUCGGCACCAGCCUCAUGUCGCGGCUGCACCGGUGGUGCCCGCUUCAACCAAGGAUGAGGCGACACGACGAGCGCGACGGGCACUGCGAUUCAUUCGCGAGGAACGGGAUGCCUACUUCAACGCGAAAGCCCGGCGUGCCGAGGAGCUGCUGCGAGAGGGGCGCGAAGCUGCGCGAAAAAACCGUGCACGCCGGCAGGCUGACAUGGCACAGACCCUCCCCAAGGCUGCAUAAACGUCGCAACUCUGCCCCCCCCCUCCCGCCCCGCCCUCUCUUCUGUUCUUGUGUGGUGUGCGUUGCUGCCCGAUACCUCUUCUCGCACCGCUCACACCCUCUCCUUCGUCCCUUCGUGCCUUCCAGCCGUGGCACUACAGUGAGCGUGUGGCUUACGCAUGCCGCCAUCGCCAUCGUGAUGAUACAUCCCCAACACCACCACCACUCUCCCUCUCGUUACGCCAUUAUGAGUUACAGAAGGAAAGAAACUCCAGAGAUCCCUGUACGUGUGCGUGCGUUUGUACGUGUGUACGUAUCAAGACGUAGAAGGCGAGGGCAUGAGAAGAAUACUGUUGACGUGGUGUCUUCUCUGCUCGUCUGCCUCGCCCUUAUCCCACCCUCCUCCGCUUCCCAUUCGCAUCCCCAUCCUUCCUUCCCUCUCCAGGUGAUGUCGGGAUGCACGUGAGCCGCCAUGAGAUGCAGGGGAGGGGAGAGUGGCUCUCAGAUGGCGCAAGUGAGGUCUAUCCAGGCCCGCCUGCUACGGCCAUCACCCCCCUCCUCCUCCCCUCCCCUCUGACGUGUUGUGGCUUUCGCCAACAAUGAUGCAUGCGCAGAUGUCACUUCUCUCUUCCUAUGUUCCUAUCCUUAUGUGCGUUGCUAACGGCGCAUGGGCGGCUGGUCCCUCCUUGUGCCGGCUGCAUCUCUCCCCCUCCCCCUCCCCCUCCUCACUCCUUUCUUGUCCCACUGUCUCUCUCUCUCUCUGCUUUGCGCUUGCGGGUGUUCACCAUCGUUAUGAUGCCACGCGUGCCAUUGGGUGACGCAACCACCACCCCCUCUCAG
Molecule: unclassified non-coding RNA, 1720 nt
Filed under: Leishmania donovani
Lineage: Eukaryota; Euglenozoa; Kinetoplastea; Trypanosomatida; Trypanosomatidae
Description: gene:LdHU3.05.0540(CDS-product:hypothetical_prote in_conserved)
Source: RNAcentral